This 404-nucleotide ribosomal RNA is filed under the name uncultured Clostridium sp. RNAcentral describes it as "bacterial SSU rRNA". It matches the Rfam family "Bacterial small subunit ribosomal RNA", at positions 356 to 774 of the family's 1533-position model. The record is from RNAcentral. Lineage: Bacteria; Bacillati; Bacillota; Clostridia; Eubacteriales; Clostridiaceae.
GGGGAAUAUUGCACAAUGGGCGAAAGCCUGAUGCAGCAACGCCGCGUGAAGGAAGAAGGGUUUCGGCUCGUAAACUUCUAUCAACAGGGACGAAAAAAAUGACGGUACCUGAAUAAGAAGCCCCGGCUAACUACGUGCCAGCAGCCGCGGUAAUACGUAGGGGGCAAGCGUUAUCCGGAAUUACUGGGUGUAAAGGGAGAGUAGGCGGCAUGGUAAGUUAGAUGUGAAAGCCCGAGGCUUAACCUCGGGAUUGCAUUUAAAACUAUCAAGCUAGAGUACAGGAGAGGUAAGUGGAAUUCCUAGUGUAGCGGUGAAAUGCGUAGAUAUUAGGAGGAACAUCAGUGGCGAAGGCGGCCACCUUGACCGCUAUUGACGCUGAGGUGCGAAAGCGUGGGGAGCAAACA